Molecule: ribosomal RNA, 439 nt
Filed under: uncultured Glomus
Lineage: Eukaryota; Fungi; Glomeromycota; Glomeromycetes; Glomerales; Glomeraceae
Description: SSU rRNA
Rfam family: Eukaryotic small subunit ribosomal RNA
Source: RNAcentral
AGCAGCCGCGGUAAUUCCAGCUCCAAUAGCGUAUAUUAAAGUUGUUGCAGUUAAAAAGCUCGUAGUUGAAUUUCGGGGUUAGUAGGUUGGUCAUGCCUCAGGUAUGUACUGGUCUCACUGAUUCCUCCUUCCUGAUGAGCCGUAAUGCCAUUAAUUUGGUGUUGCGGGGAAUCAGGACUGUUACCUUGAAAAAAUUAGAGUGUUUAAAGCAGGCUUACGCUUGAAUACAUUAGCAUGGAAUAAUGAAAUAGGACGUUUGAUCCUAUUUUGUUGGUUUCUAGGAUUGACGUAAUGAUUAAUAGGGAUAGUUGGGGGCAUUAGUAUUCAAUUGUCAGAGGUGAAAUUCUUGGAUUUUAUUGAAGACUAACUACUGCGAAAGCAUUUGCCAAGGAUGUUUUCAUUAAUCAAGAACGAAAGUUAGGGGAUCGAAGACGAUCAG